UUAGGGAUAGCUGGCAGCACUCCUGGGAUAGGAGUUGCCACUGGAGUAAUGUCCUCUGCUGGAGCUUCUGUUUCAGGAGCAAGGGGGUCUGCACUGUCUUCAUCUCCAGAUUCUUCUGCAGCAACAGGGCUGAUGGUGGUGGCUGCAGGUGUUUGACCACUUGGCAAAGUGGUGGCAGGGCCUAUCUGUUAUAAUGGAUGGAUGCAUUAAUGUAUUAGAUAUGAAGAUACCCUUAUACUUCUUAGAUAUUAGUAAAAACCAAUUAGAAACUAUGCAUCGUCAUAUUAAGAAAUCACUUCCUAUAAUAAGUUCAAUCUCAUUCCUUUGUUUAAAUCAUGCAUAAAGAUUUUCUUUUUCUAUCAAUAAAGGACAAUGCCUCUACAUUUCUUUAUUAUACUUAUGCAUGCUUCUAUAGAAAUAUAGAAGCUAUGCUAAAAUCUUAUAAUAUUUUUUUGAAGACAUGAAUGCUCUAUAGAUAUAUAUCAAUCAAAUAUAUAAAAGUAUUUGAGCUUCAUAGCCUACCAGUGAUGUGGUUGUGGCUGCAGGUGUUUGGUUAAUUGGCAAAGUGGUGGCAGAAGUUGUCUGUGGUGUUGUGGUGGCUGGACCGGUUAUGAAUGAAGAAGGAUUGACAGCUCCAGAUGCUGCUAAGUUGCCUAUGGCUUGAGGUUGGGGUUCCACUUCAUCUAGGAUCCUU
RNAcentral lists this long non-coding RNA (694 nucleotides) under Phaseolus vulgaris (common bean). RNAcentral describes it as "long non-coding RNA (PVUL_LNC001373)". Lineage: Eukaryota; Viridiplantae; Streptophyta; Magnoliopsida; Fabales; Fabaceae. The record is from RNAcentral.